GAUGAACGCUGGCGGCGUGCCUAAUACAUGCAAGUCGAGCGAACGGACCAGAAGCUUGCUUCUCUGAUGUUAGCGGCGGACGGGUGAGUCACAUGUGGAUAACCUACCUAUAAGACUGGGAUAAUCUCGGGAAACCGGCGCUUAUACCGGAUAAUAUUUUGCACCGCAUGGUUCAAAAGUGAAAUUCGGUCUUUCUGUCACUUAUAGAUGCAUCCGCGCUGCAUUAGCUAGUUGGUAAGGUAACGGCUUACCAAGGCAACUAUGCAUAGCCGACCUGAGAGAGUGGUCGGCCACACUGGAAGUGAGACACGGUACAGACUCCUACGGGAGGCAGCAGUAGGGAAUCUUACGCAAUGGGGGAGAGGCUGACGGAGCAACGCCGCGUGAGUGAUGAAGGUGUUAGGAUCGGAAAACUCUGUUAUUAGGGAAGAACAUAUGUGUAAGUAACUGUGCACAUCUUGACGGUACCUAAUCAGAAAGCCACGGCUAACUACGUG
This 497-nucleotide ribosomal RNA is filed under the name uncultured bacterium. Its description in RNAcentral is "partial 16S ribosomal RNA". It matches the Rfam family "Bacterial small subunit ribosomal RNA", at positions 28 to 507 of the family's 1533-position model. The record is from RNAcentral.